GUUUCAGGGCGGGGUGAGAUUCCCCACCGGCGGUAUAGCCCGCGACCACCCUCCCAAAAGGGGUGCUGACCCGGUGAGACUCCGGGGCCGACGGUAUAGUCCGGAUGAAAGAGA
This 114-nucleotide non-coding RNA is filed under the name Candidatus Faecalibacterium intestinavium. Its description in RNAcentral is "FMN riboswitch (RFN element)". It matches the Rfam family "FMN riboswitch aptamer (RFN element)". Rfam says of the family: The RFN element is a highly conserved domain that is found frequently in the 5'-untranslated regions of prokaryotic mRNAs that encode for flavin mononucleotide (FMN) biosynthesis and transport proteins. Lineage: Bacteria; Bacillati; Bacillota; Clostridia; Eubacteriales; Oscillospiraceae. The record is from RNAcentral.